RNAcentral lists this ribosomal RNA (305 nucleotides) under uncultured bacterium. RNAcentral describes it as "bacterial SSU rRNA". It matches the Rfam family "Bacterial small subunit ribosomal RNA", at positions 337 to 657 of the family's 1533-position model. The record is from RNAcentral.
GCCUACGGGGCGCAGCAGUGGGGAAUAUUGGGCAAUGGGCGCAAGCCUGACCCAGCAACGCCGCGUGAAGGAAGAAGGCUUUCGGGUUGUAAACUUCUUUUCUCAGGGACGAAGCAAGUGACGGUACCUGAAGAAAAAGCAUCGGCUAACUCCGUGCCAGCAGCCGCGGUAAUACGGAGGAUGCGAGCGUUAUCCGGAUUUAUUGGGUUUAAAGGGUGCGCAGGCGGAGGCACAAGUCAGCGGUAAAAUCGCGGGGCUCAACCCCGCUCCGCCGUUGAAACUGUGUCCCUUGAGUGCGCGAAGGG